Molecule: unclassified non-coding RNA, 403 nt
Filed under: uncultured fungus
Lineage: Eukaryota; Fungi
Description: sequence contains ITS1, 5.8S rRNA gene and ITS2
Rfam family: Eukaryotic small subunit ribosomal RNA (bases 1-68)
Source: RNAcentral
CUUGGUCAUUUAGAGGAAGUAAAAGUCGUAACAAGGUUUCCGUAGGUGAACCUGCGGAAGGAUCAUUAGUGAAUUAAACAUGCUUGGUGUCUUCGCUUCGGCAAGGCCCUUGCUUAACUCACAUCCCAACACCUGUGAACUGUAAGGCGCAUGCCUGUUCGAGCGUCAUUAAGUCCACUUAAGCCUAGCUUAGUGUUGGGAGACUGCUCCAGUGGUGCUACCCUGUAGCUACCCUGCAGCUCCUUAAAGACAGCGGCGGAGUCGUGCUAUCCUCUGAGCUUAGUAAAUCAUUCUAGCUUUCGAGAGUAUCACUUCACCUGCCGUUAAACCACCUAAUUUUUAUGGUUGACCUCGGAUCAGGUAGGAAUACCCGCUGAACUUAAGCAUAUCAAUAAGCGGAGGA